UUGCGGUUAAAAAGCUCGUAGUUGGAUUUCUGUCCGAGGCAGCCGGUCCGCACCUGGUGCGUGUAUCUGGUUUGGCUAGGGCAUCCUCUUGGGGAACGUCUCUGUGCUUGAUUGCAUGGGGCGGAAUUCAAGACUUUUACUUUGAGGAAAUUAGAGUGUUCACGGCAAGCUAUCGCUUUGAAUACAUUAGCAUGGAAUAAUAAUAUAGGGCGUAAGUUCUAUUUUGUUGGUUUCUAGGACAUACGCAAUGAUUAAUAGGGACAAUUGGGGGCAUUCGUAUUAACGCGUCAGAGGUGGAAUUCUUAGAUUGCGUUACGACGAACUACUGCGAAAGCAUUUGCCAAGGAUGUUUUCAUUGAUCAAGAACGAAAGUAUGGGGAUCGAAGACGAUUAGAUACCGUCGUAGUCUAUACCAUAAACUAUGCCAAUUAGAGAUUGGAGGUCGUUCGUUUUAUGACUCCUUCAGCACCUUAUGAGAAAUCAAAAUUUUUGGGUUCCGGGGGGAAUAU
This 509-nucleotide ribosomal RNA is filed under the name uncultured marine eukaryote. RNAcentral's name for it is "SSU rRNA". It matches the Rfam family "Eukaryotic small subunit ribosomal RNA", at positions 613 to 1126 of the family's 1831-position model. The record is from RNAcentral.